UGUGAUUUGUUAUUUGAGAACGUGCGACGUAUAGAACAACGAAAUGACACCGUCUGUCUGUACAGGUCGAAUUCUAGGGGUCUCCGUUUGCCGAAAGACUCUAACAAGAAGAAUGGCGGCAAGGCACGUAGCCGUGAUCUAAAGAAGGGGGCCGGAUCCAAGGAUGGAGGAGACGAGAUGGAUGCAUUCCGAGUCAAAGAUAGCGAAGCGAGAGUAUCUUCUCCUGCACCUGUCGAGAAACCCAGUGCAGAGGAUGUCGUCAAGAAGGAGCCAGAGCCGGCUUUGCAGGGGCCUGUUCUUGCACACAAGCCCCUCUCUGGACGCCAGAGCAUAGAACAGAA
Long non-coding RNA from Priapulus caudatus, 341 nucleotides. RefSeq lists it as uncharacterized. The record is from RefSeq and is a predicted model, not a curated record. The transcript is spliced from 4 exons. Lineage: Eukaryota; Metazoa; Priapulida; Priapulimorpha; Priapulimorphida; Priapulidae.